Molecule: ribosomal RNA, 671 nt
Filed under: Rhizopus arrhizus
Lineage: Eukaryota; Fungi; Mucoromycota; Mucoromycetes; Mucorales; Rhizopodaceae
Description: Rhizopus oryzae partial large subunit ribosomal RNA
Rfam family: Eukaryotic large subunit ribosomal RNA
Source: RNAcentral
CACCCAGGUCGCGCGAUAAGAGGACUAGCUCUUAGUUGCGAGCCUGUUUGACCUAAAUAAACCUGAAUACAGACUGAAUAAUUGUUUUCCCGGCCAACCGAGUAAAUCCUUCCUUUGGAACCGGCCAUCAGAGAGAGAGAGAAGCCCUUCUUUUGGUCGUGCGCUUUUUUUUUUUGAUUUUCUUUCAAACAGGCUGGUUGUUUGGGAAUGCGACCUAGAUUGGGAGGUCUAUCCCACCCCUAGCUAUAGAUUGGAAAGAAACCGAGAACGAACACCUACCGGGAGGGAAAAAGAAAAAUAUCUUUAAAAAGAUAGUUAAAAAGUAAAUUUGAUUGUUAAAAGGCGAUCGUUGGCAGACUGAGUGGUCUGUCUGUAAUCUAUCUAUCCGUCUGGCUGCACGUCCUUGCGAGGCCUGCCUGCCACCCUUUCUUUUACUUGAGAAAAAAAACAAAAAAAAAAGCGGCCCGCUGGUGGGAGUGAUACUCCCACAAAAACUACCUUGGGAUUGAGAGAGGAACCCAACGCAUGUUUUUUGGCUUUUUUUCCAGGAUUUUUUUCUGAGUUACUACUCUAUCAUGGUCGAUCUGUUUAUACAUCUAUUUCCUCACGUAGGUGGUUGGGUGACUGACUCUGAGUGACCCUUAUAACACACAACCAAAAAAAAAGGCAAA